GUUUUUUUUCAUAUUUCAAUGUUUGGACAUUCAGGAAUACGCCCUUAAAAGGAUUUUUCAAAAUUUCAAUUAUUUUAUGAGUUACAGCCAUUUUUGUGACGCGGCAUCUGCUCCGGUCCAACCGGAACAAGUGAACAAUAGAUGGUAGACGCUGCCCGGGUACCUACGUAUGAAUACCCUCAUAAAACCUUUAUUGUAUUGUAUCCCUUUUUAAUGUAUUUUUAAUUCAAUAAUUCAAUACGAACGAUGUUUGGGUUCUGAUACCCAAAAUAAUAACGAAUCGUUAAAUUCGUUAAUAUGGACUUUUGCUCCGAAGCACAUCCACGCAGGAACGCAGACAAUUCAAAUUUCCACUUUCCUCGCAUUUCAGAGGCAUCAAAGGAAGCCAGGACUGCUCGUCUCCAUAAAAGAACCUCGAAGAAUGAGCAUUUUGAAGUAGAGGAAGGUUUCAUGUAUAGAGCAGGUAUCGCUGAUUAAAAAUGUGUAAAUAUGCUGUACCAUUCUAUGAGUAAAAUUGCCGGAAACUUGUCUCAAAGCCAACCUCUGCCUCAAUCUUACUAAAAACAAAGAAAGAUAUCGAAACAGCCACAGAAUACUUAAACACGAGCAUAAUAAACGCUAUCCGCUCCUCAACACCUACUAAGACUACUAUGAACAAACACGAAUAUCCCCAUUAUAUAUUAAACAAAAUCACAGAAAAACGAAGACCAAGAAGAGUAUGGCAAACCCAUAGAACACCGGAUGACAAAUGCAAACUAAACAACGCAACCAGGAAGUUAACCAAAAUCAUUAAAAAAAUACAAAAAUGACUGUUUCCAAAAGUACCUCGUCAAUUUGUCCCCCUCUGCCGACUCCAACUA
RNAcentral lists this unclassified non-coding RNA (860 nucleotides) under Bombus terrestris (buff-tailed bumblebee). RNAcentral describes it as "misc RNA ENSBTSG00005028373.1". The record is from RNAcentral. Lineage: Eukaryota; Metazoa; Arthropoda; Insecta; Hymenoptera; Apidae.